ACACGCAUGACACACUGCAUAUCAAUAAGCGGAGGAAAAGAAACUAACAAGGAUUCCCUUAGUAACGGCGAGUGAAGCGGGAAGAGCUCAAAUUUGAAAUCUUCAAGGUUCUACCUUGACGAAUUGUAGUUUAUAGAAGUGUUUUCUGUUAGUGGAGUGGCAAAAGUUCUUUGGAAUAGGACAUCAUAGAGGGUGAGAAUCCCGUAUUUGGUCAUUCCUCCUAGCGUUGUGAUACACUUUCAACGAGUCGGAUUGUUUGGGAAUGCAGUCCAAAAUGGGUGGUAAAUUUCAUCUAAAGCUAAAUAUUGGCGAGAGACCGAUAGCGAACAAGUACCGUGAGGGAAAGAUGAAAAGAACUUUGAAAAGAGAGUUAAACAGUACGUGAAAUUGUCAAAAGGGAAGCGUUUGACACCAGUGUUGUUUUUCCGAAAAUCAAUUACGAAUGUUUUAUUUUUGAGGAGUUAUGACUUCAUCGGCUUGCUCCUUUCUUUAUGAAACUUUCUUAAUGCACUUUUCGGUUAACAAGUCAACAUCAAUUUCUUUUGUUGUAAAAGGUUAUGAGGAAGGUGGCUUUCUUUUCGGAGAAAGUGUUUAUAGCCUUGUACCUCUGCAAUCGGAGAGAUUGAGGUACAUGCAGCGUAGACUCCUUCUGGGGUUAGAUACACUUGUGCUAAGCUAUAGCCUUGUAUAGACAACUUGUUGACUAUGCUCAGUCAUGUAGCUUACUCGCUUAGUGCUAUUUUACCUACGCUUAGGAUGUUGACUGAUAUGUAGUCGUA
RNAcentral lists this ribosomal RNA (779 nucleotides) under uncultured Neocallimastigales. RNAcentral's name for it is "partial large subunit ribosomal RNA". It matches the Rfam family "Eukaryotic large subunit ribosomal RNA", at positions 23 to 644 of the family's 3401-position model. Lineage: Eukaryota; Fungi; Neocallimastigomycota; Neocallimastigomycetes; Neocallimastigales. The record is from RNAcentral.